This 24-nucleotide non-coding RNA is filed under the name Arabidopsis thaliana (thale cress). The record is from RNAcentral. Lineage: Eukaryota; Viridiplantae; Streptophyta; Magnoliopsida; Brassicales; Brassicaceae.
AGCGGUUAUAAAAGUGCGGUGUGG